UGGGGAAUUUUGGACAAUGGGCGAAAGCCUGAUCCAGCAAUGCCGCGUGUGUGAAGAAGGCCUUCGGGUUGUAAAGCACUUUUGUCCGGAAAGAAAUCCUUGGCUCUAAUACAGUCGGGGGAUGACGGUACCGGAAGAAUAAGCACCGGCUAACUACGUGCCAGCAGCCGCGGUAAUACGUAGGGUGCAAGCGUUAAUCGGAAUUACUGGGCGUAAAGCGUGCGCAGGCGGUUUGCUAAGACCGAUGUGAAAUCCCCGGGCUCAACCUGGGAACUGCAUUGGUGACUGGCAGGCUAGAGUAUGGCAGAGGGGGGUAGAAUUCCACGUGUAGCAGUGAAAUGCGUAGAGAUGUGGAGGAAUACCGAUGGCGAAGGCAGCCCCCUGGGCCAAAUACUGACGCUCAUGCACGAAAAGCGUGGGGAGCAAAACAGGAUUAGAUACCCUGGUAGUCCACGCCCUAAAACGAUGUC
Molecule: ribosomal RNA, 470 nt
Filed under: uncultured bacterium
Lineage: Bacteria
Description: partial 16S ribosomal RNA
Rfam family: Bacterial small subunit ribosomal RNA
Source: RNAcentral